UGUCAGCGUCUUUGACAAGUAGGGC
This 25-nucleotide non-coding RNA is filed under the name Mus musculus (house mouse). The record is from RNAcentral. Lineage: Eukaryota; Metazoa; Chordata; Mammalia; Rodentia; Muridae.